RNAcentral lists this transfer RNA (72 nucleotides) under Helianthus annuus (common sunflower). RNAcentral's name for it is "sRNA HanXRQr2_Chr11g0500611". It matches the Rfam family "tRNA". From Rfam's summary of the family: Transfer RNA (tRNA) molecules are approximately 80 nucleotides in length. The record is from Rfam by way of RNAcentral. Lineage: Eukaryota; Viridiplantae; Streptophyta; Magnoliopsida; Asterales; Asteraceae.
GGGAUUGUAGUUCAAUCGGUCAGAGCACCGCCCUGUCAAGGCGGAAGCUAAUGCUUCCUCCUUACUCUUCUA